Molecule: transfer RNA, 72 nt
Filed under: Geocalamus acutus
Lineage: Eukaryota; Metazoa; Chordata; Lepidosauria; Squamata; Amphisbaenidae
Description: tRNA-Ile
Rfam family: tRNA
About the family: Transfer RNA (tRNA) molecules are approximately 80 nucleotides in length.
Source: RNAcentral
GGACGUGUGCCCGAAUCUUCAAGGACUACUUUGAUAGAGUAAUACACAGAGGUUAAAAUCCUCUCACCUCCU